GACGAACCGAGCAAACGUUAUUCGGAAUCACUGGGCUUAAAGAGUCCGUAGGCGGCGCGUUAGGUGGGGUGUGAAAUCCCUCGGCUUAACCGAGGAAUUGCGCUCCAAACCGGCGUGCUUGAGGAAGGUAGAGGUGAGCGGAACUGAUGGUGGAGCGGUGAAAUGCGUUGAUAUCAUCAGGAACACCGGAGGCGAAGGCGGCUCACUGGGCCUUAUCUGACGCUGAGGGACGAAAGCCAGGGUAGCGAACGGG
RNAcentral lists this ribosomal RNA (253 nucleotides) under uncultured bacterium. RNAcentral describes it as "partial 16S ribosomal RNA". It matches the Rfam family "Bacterial small subunit ribosomal RNA", at positions 524 to 776 of the family's 1533-position model. The record is from RNAcentral.